CAAUUUUCUGAAUUUUUCCAAGCUUCAUGUUUGAGGAGCAAAUACUAUGCAAACAUAUAAAAGCCCGCUAAAAGAACACAUUGCUUCAUCCACCAGUUUAGAACAAUCCUUGUAAUCUUAACUUGCAAAAAUUUCUGAAAAAGAAGAUUCACUGAAGCGCAUGAGAAAAAGUUCAUAACAAAUCAACAAGAGUCAAGUUAAAUUCAAUGCAUAUAGGGAUCCACAAUGGCAGCAUCUAUGGAAAAUAGGACGAGAAACUGAAAAGCAAUAAAGAAAAAGAAAAAUUGGGUUUAUAUGUUGAGUGAAAGACCUCAUUCCUUCGAAUUUUUUGAAGGGUGUAAGCUCAGCCAACGAUCUGCAAGAACAUACAAUGGUUAUUAAUGUCCUGCAAACUCAGCUUUGACUUUAGCUAAAACUACAAUGUAUAUAUAAUCAAGAAAAUGUUGGUUGAACAGAGAAAUACCUUUAUAUGAUGUACCAUCACCGUUCUUCAUCGAUCAAAGAAUUAUCAUUAGCAUCCACAAUUGUUCCCUCAAUAUCAGACCUUACCCA
RNAcentral lists this long non-coding RNA (552 nucleotides) under Triticum aestivum (bread wheat). RNAcentral's name for it is "long non-coding RNA (TAES_LNC002761)". The record is from RNAcentral. Lineage: Eukaryota; Viridiplantae; Streptophyta; Magnoliopsida; Poales; Poaceae.